This 253-nucleotide ribosomal RNA is filed under the name uncultured bacterium. Its description in RNAcentral is "partial 16S ribosomal RNA". It matches the Rfam family "Bacterial small subunit ribosomal RNA", at positions 524 to 776 of the family's 1533-position model. The record is from RNAcentral.
UACGUAGGGUCCGAGCGUUGUCCGGAAUUAUUGGGCGUAAAGAGCUCGUAGGCGGUUUGUCGCGUCUGCUGUGAAAUCCCGAGGCUCAACCUCGGGUCUGCAGUGGGUACGGGCAGACUGGAGUGCGGUAGGGGAGAAUGGAAUUCCUGGUGUAGCGGUGGAAUGCGCAGAUAUCAGGAGGAACACCGAUGGCGAAGGCAGUUCUCUGGGCCGUAACUGACGCUGAGGAGCGAAAGCGUGGUGAGCGAACAGG